GAGGCCGAGCAACAGCAACGAGAGGAAGAGAAUGGCGCAGAUGAUGAGCAUAAUUUGAAAUCCUGUCAAUGGCGGUUCGGGCAACGGAGCUGGCGCUGGAGUGGCCAAACUUGUUGGGGAAGAAAAACAUCCAGUCUUAAGAGAUCCAAUUUUCAAGAAGCAUAAAGGAUCCAUUUAUUAAUAAAACUGGAUAAGAAAUUUCAUGGAAGUAACGGCAAUAAUUUAUCAAGAUGCAA
Long non-coding RNA from Apis florea (little honeybee), 236 nucleotides. RefSeq lists it as uncharacterized. The record is from RefSeq and is a predicted model, not a curated record. NCBI's taxonomy places the organism in Eukaryota, Metazoa, Arthropoda, Insecta, Hymenoptera, Apidae.